CCCUUUACAGAGCCGCCGCUUAAGGUUGUUACUGGAGAUAGAACCUAUACAAAGCCACCAUUUUGGCUGUUACCGAAUAUGGAAUGAAGUAGUAAGUUGACACCAUGACACUCCCUCAGCAAGUAGGAUAACACCUGCUGAUCAAAAGUAUUAUCUUGGACAUCAAACUAACUAGGUACGAGACCAUUGGAGAGGCACCACCACCACAAUAGUAGUAGGAGGGGAGAUGGUAGAGUUCAUGGCAUCUCAAUCUCGUAUAGCCUUG
This 265-nucleotide unclassified non-coding RNA is filed under the name Hevea brasiliensis (rubber tree). Lineage: Eukaryota; Viridiplantae; Streptophyta; Magnoliopsida; Malpighiales; Euphorbiaceae. The record is from RNAcentral.